RNAcentral lists this ribosomal RNA (200 nucleotides) under uncultured bacterium. RNAcentral describes it as "partial 16S ribosomal RNA". It matches the Rfam family "Bacterial small subunit ribosomal RNA", at positions 1302 to 1500 of the family's 1533-position model. The record is from RNAcentral.
AGUCUGCAACUCGACUACAUGAAGCUGGAAUCGCUAGUAAUCGCGAAUCAGAAUGUCGCGGUGAAUACGUUCCCGGGUCUUGUACACACCGCCCGUCACACCAUGGGAGUCAGUAACGCCCGAAGUCAGUGACCCAACCAAUCAGGAGGGAGCUGCCGAAGGUGGGACCGAUAACUGGGGUGAAGUCGUAACAAGGUACC